RNAcentral lists this ribosomal RNA (387 nucleotides) under Sebastes rubrivinctus (flag rockfish). RNAcentral's name for it is "partial 12S ribosomal RNA". It matches the Rfam family "Bacterial small subunit ribosomal RNA", at positions 794 to 1384 of the family's 1533-position model. The record is from RNAcentral. Lineage: Eukaryota; Metazoa; Chordata; Actinopteri; Perciformes; Sebastidae.
GCCUAGCCCUAAACCUUGGUAAUAUAUCACAUACCCUACCCGCCUGGGAACUACGAGCACCAGCUUAAAACCCAAAGGACUUGGCGGUGCUUUAGACCCCCCUAGAGGAGCCUGUUCUAGAACCGAUAACCCCCGUUCAACCUCACCCUUCCUUGUUUAUCCCGCCUAUAUACCGCCGUCGUCAGCUUACCCUGUGAAGGCCUAAAAGUAAGCACAACUGGCACAACCCAAAACGUCAGGUCGAGGUGUAGCGCAUGGAGGGGGAAGAAAUGGGCUACAUUCCCUAUAUUAGGGAACACGAACGGCGCACUGAAACACGCGCCUGAAGGAGGAUUUAGUAGUAAGCGGAAAAUAGCGUGUUCCACUGAAAUCGGCCCUGAAGCGCGC